This 73-nucleotide transfer RNA is filed under the name Stegodyphus mimosarum. It matches the Rfam family "tRNA". Rfam says of the family: Transfer RNA (tRNA) molecules are approximately 80 nucleotides in length. Their secondary structure includes four short double-helical elements and three loops (D, anti-codon, and T loops). Lineage: Eukaryota; Metazoa; Arthropoda; Arachnida; Araneae; Eresidae. The record is from Rfam by way of RNAcentral.
GCCUACGUGGUGUAAUGGGUAGCUCACUCGGCUCGUAUUCGAGAUGUCCGAGGUUCGAGUCCCGGCGAGGGCA